UCCGAUCCACACGCUGGGAUACUGUGUGGAUAUCUGUAUAUACUCCUACUUACUACUCCACCUCCGCGACUUCGCUCCUGCCGGCCCGGCCAUCUCCAUCCACCGGCUGCUCUGCUCCGGUCCGGUCCGGCCGGCCACCUCGCCACCACUGCCGCCUUGUGAUGCUUCUCUCUCUCUCUCUCUCUCUCUCUCUCUCUCUCCGGGAGCUCGAAGGGGAUCCUUGGUGUUCUUAGCGGGGAAGGAGGAGGCGCCCCUGCAUUUGACUAUUUUGGUUGCUCUCUUUCUUCGAUUCAUUCUGCUUUUUUCCUCUGCUGUCAAUUUAUUUGUGGGAUUAGUCUACGCAGACAUGACUCCAACAACUACAGGUUCUUGCUAGCCGCUAUUUGAUUUCCUUUCAUUUCCUUUUGGGAGGAAAAGAAGUUCUUGGCUAAGUAAGAUCCACCUCCGAUGCUAGUUUCAAUCCGACUAUUUUAAUACCCACUCCACUCUGGGUUUCUGUGUUCGUCGUUGGUGACCAGGGAGUCAACUUGUGAAGCUGACAAGUUCGACCAGCAAUAAAGUUCGGCAGAAUCUUCACACUUCUUUAUUGUUUUAAUAGGAGACGAGCGUCGCGCCUCAUCCCAUCUCGGCCGGAGCAACCAGCAAGACAGUGCUCUGCCGUGCCUCCCCUCGUUCUCUCCUUCCUCCCAGUUUUCUCUCUCUCACUCAUCCUACCUUGUUUUCUUUCAGGAGCAAUCUGGAGCAACCAUGGCGCCGCCUUGGUGAAACCCGCUGCCUUCCAAGGUCCCGCUGCUGCUCACCUGGAUCUGGCCGCCGCUGUUAUUCCGCACGCCCAGCCCGUCCGCCCCCGCCC
RNAcentral lists this long non-coding RNA (853 nucleotides) under Triticum aestivum (bread wheat). Its description in RNAcentral is "long non-coding RNA (TAES_LNC016832)". The record is from RNAcentral. Lineage: Eukaryota; Viridiplantae; Streptophyta; Magnoliopsida; Poales; Poaceae.